RNAcentral lists this ribosomal RNA (315 nucleotides) under Dikerogammarus haemobaphes. Its description in RNAcentral is "partial 16S ribosomal RNA". The record is from RNAcentral. Lineage: Eukaryota; Metazoa; Arthropoda; Malacostraca; Amphipoda; Gammaridae.
UUUUAACGGCUGCGGUAUUUUGACCGUGCUAAGGUAGCAUAAUCAAUUGUUUUUUAAUUGAAAACUAGUAUGAACGGUUUAAUUUACUUAAUUAGUUUGUAAUUUUUAAUAGUAAGUUAAAUAUAAAGUAAGAAUUCUUUAAUAAAUUAGGGGACGAUAAGACCCUAAAAGCUUUAUGAUUGGCAUUUAAUUGGUGAUAGCGGUGUUAUUAAUUCACUGGGGCAGUGAGUUUAGGUGUAUUUAAGUAUAAUUAAAAGCUCCUUUAAAUAAAGAUUUCAUGUAUAAGUUACUUUAGGGAUAACAGUGCAAUAUAUU